This is a long non-coding RNA of Populus trichocarpa (black cottonwood), 573 nucleotides long. RefSeq lists it as uncharacterized. The record is from RefSeq and is a predicted model, not a curated record. Lineage: Eukaryota; Viridiplantae; Streptophyta; Magnoliopsida; Malpighiales; Salicaceae. The transcript has 4 exons.
AGGUGUUAUUAGGGUGCAAUAUCCUUGCUGUUUCUCAGAUUUAUUAGCUUAGUUUUCUGAAGAUUCACCUGUGCAUUCAACGUUCGUUAUUCCUUGGUAUCGAAAUCCACACCAGGGGAAUCUCAUUUGCAGAGGAUUUCUAUGGCUUCAACAAUGCUUUCUUUAGCUUCUACCACUCCUUCUGCUUCACUUUCUAUGCAAGAAAUUCUCAAGUCUCGUACAUGAUAAAAAAGGAGAACAAAGGGAGAGAGGAGAAGAAGGCAAGGAUGAUGAGAUUGGGAUUUCUGAAGGGGGUUUUGAGGGAUUCUUUGAGCAAGUCGAAGAACCCUAGCUGCUUCUCUUCCAUCAUGGUUUUUCUGGUAAAUGAUUUAAUGUAUAUUGUCAAAUCCUCACGGGCUAGGUUUCAUUGCUAUGAUGGUUAGUGAGAAAAUGAACUUGUAUUGUGAAAUGACUCCAAUGAAUUUCAGCAACACUCUUUUUCUUUUUUCUUUUUUUCUUUUUUUUUUUGCUGGGGAGGGCUAAUGUCAACAUAUUCUCCCGUCUUACUCUUUUGAAUAUCAAUUAUUAGAGGUC